This 260-nucleotide ribosomal RNA is filed under the name uncultured Glomus. Its description in RNAcentral is "partial 18S ribosomal RNA". It matches the Rfam family "Eukaryotic small subunit ribosomal RNA", at positions 624 to 886 of the family's 1831-position model. The record is from RNAcentral. Lineage: Eukaryota; Fungi; Glomeromycota; Glomeromycetes; Glomerales; Glomeraceae.
AAGCUCGUAGUUGAAUUUCGGAAUUUGUCGGUUGGUCGGGCUUCACUGUCCGCAUUGGCCUGAUAGAUUCCCACCUUCUGAAUAACCAGCAUGCUAUUAAUUUAGUGCGUUGGGGAAGCAGAGCUAUUACCUUGAAAAAAUUANAGUGCUUAAAGCAGGCUUAUGCUUGAAUAGAUUAGCAUGGAAUAAUAAAAUAGGACGGCUUGGUUCUAUUUUGUUGGUUUCUAGGAUCACCGUAAUGAUUAAUAGGGAUAGUUGGG